Molecule: transfer RNA, 66 nt
Filed under: Scolytinae sp. BMNH 1039994
Lineage: Eukaryota; Metazoa; Arthropoda; Insecta; Coleoptera; Curculionidae
Description: tRNA-Ser
Source: RNAcentral
GGUAGAAGACACCAAAAAAAAAGCUUCUAACUUUGUUUUAAGCGGUGAAACUCCGUUUUUCUACCU